CGCGGCCUAUCAGCUUGUUGGUGGGGUAACGGCCUACCAAGGCGACGACGGGUAGCUGGUCUGAGAGGACGGCCAGCCACACUGGGACUGAGACACGGCCCAGACUCCUACGGGAGGCAGCAGUGGGGAAUCUUGCGCAAUGGGCGAAAGCCUGACGCAGCAACGCCGCGUGCGGGACGAAGGCCUUCGGGUUGUAAACCGCUUUCAGCAGGGACGAACAUGACGGUACCUGCAGAAGAAGCCCCGGCCAACUACGUGCCAGCAGCCGCGGUAAUACGUAGGGGGCGAGCGUUGUCCGGAUUUAUUGGGCGUAAAGAGCUCGUAGGCGGUUUGGCAAGUCGGGUGUGAAAACUCCGGGCUCAACUCGGAGAGGCCACUCGAUACUGCUAUGACUCGAGUCCGGUAGGGGAGUGCGGAAUUCCUGGUGUAGCGGUGAAAUGCGCAGAUAUCAGGAGGAACACCAGUGGCGAAGGCGGCACUCUGGGCCGGAACUGACGCUGAGGAGCGAAAGCGUGGGUAGCGAACAGGAUUAGAUACCCUGGUAGUCCACGCCGUAAACGUUGGGCACUAGGUGUGGGGUUCGAUCGACGGGCUCCGUGCCGUAGCUAACGCAUUAAGUGCCCCGCCUGGGGAGUACGG
Molecule: ribosomal RNA, 639 nt
Filed under: uncultured Actinomycetes bacterium
Lineage: Bacteria; Bacillati; Actinomycetota; Actinomycetes
Description: bacterial SSU rRNA
Rfam family: Bacterial small subunit ribosomal RNA
Source: RNAcentral